This 198-nucleotide ribosomal RNA is filed under the name uncultured bacterium. RNAcentral describes it as "partial 16S ribosomal RNA". It matches the Rfam family "Bacterial small subunit ribosomal RNA", at positions 328 to 539 of the family's 1533-position model. The record is from RNAcentral.
ACGCUCGACACCUACGGGAGGCAGCAGUGGGGAAUAUUGCACAAUGGGGGAAACCCUGAUGCAGCGACGCCGCGUGAAGGAAGAAGUAUCUCGGUAUGUAAACUUCUAUCAGCAGGGAAGAAAAUGACGGUACCUGACUAAGAAGCCCCGGCUAACUACGUGCCAGCAGCCACGGUAAUCUGAGCGGGCUGGCAAGGC